AUGUCGGUGAGCCUCGCGAGGGCGUCGCUGCCGGCCUGGUGCACGGCGGCCGCGGCCGCGGGGAGCAGCGGCCUGCGCUCUCGCCUGCGCGGCACGGCGUGCUCCGGUCGGCGCGUGGGCGUCCGGUGCAGCUCCACCACGCCGCCGGGGUUUCCUCCGGGGCCGACGCCGCCGGGGUUCCCCGCGGAGGUGCCGGCCACGGCCCAGCCGCCCGAGGAGAUGCCGGGCACGGCGCGGCCGCCGCAGGAGAUGCCAGGCAUCGACAUGCCGCCGGAGUUCAACGCGCCCCCGGGCGUGGACGUGCCGACGCCUGGCGCGCCGGUGCCGGGCACGCCUCCCAGCCCGGAGCAGCCGGGGCCGUUCGUGCCAUCGCCGCCGAGGCCGGAGAUCCCGGCCGUGCCGCCGAACCCCGACGUGAUCCCGACGCCGCCGCCGGAGGUGGACCCACCGCGCACCCCGCCCGAGGUGGUGCCUCCGCAGCCGUCCGACGUCCCGCCUCCCUUCGUGUGA
Molecule: ribosomal RNA, 510 nt
Filed under: Triticum aestivum (bread wheat)
Lineage: Eukaryota; Viridiplantae; Streptophyta; Magnoliopsida; Poales; Poaceae
Description: partial small subunit ribosomal RNA
Source: RNAcentral